GAAAGUAAACAUGAAAUAUAUUAAACGCCAACUGGCUCAAGGUUUAUUACAUCAGCAUCAAGCAACGGGAACGCGGCUAAAGGAACCUCUUCCACCCAAACCAUAUUGGCAUAAGUGUCCGCGUUCCGAGCCAAAAAAUCAGCAACGGCAUUACCCGUACGACGGACAAAACAAAGAGAAACAAACUCAAAAGCAGAAAUUAACAAACGACAAUCUCAAAUAAGAAUACUCAAAUAAGACCGAUCCUCCUCAAUCAUCCUCCAAGCGUUAAAGAGAUUCAAGCAAUCCGUCUCUAAGAUAAUCCGACGAAAUCCCAAAUCAAUUGCUAACUGCAUCGUCCAUCGCAUAGCCAUAGCUUCCGCCAAAAGAGGGGAGCUAAUAGGGACAGGAAAAGAGCAUGCUGCAGCCAUUGCCUCGCCCUCUGAGUUGCGAGCAACCAUGCCAAGGCCCGCGGUGCCACCCCCUCGGAAAGAAGCAUCAAAAUUGCACUUUAUGGUACCUGGUUGUGGCCUCCUCCACCGUGCUGGCCUGGAACCCGUCCGUGGACCACCGUCGCUCU
This 559-nucleotide long non-coding RNA is filed under the name Lotus japonicus. Its description in RNAcentral is "long non-coding RNA (LJAP_LNC000890)". The record is from RNAcentral. Lineage: Eukaryota; Viridiplantae; Streptophyta; Magnoliopsida; Fabales; Fabaceae.